Molecule: long non-coding RNA, 230 nt
Filed under: Mytilus galloprovincialis (Mediterranean mussel)
Lineage: Eukaryota; Metazoa; Mollusca; Bivalvia; Mytilida; Mytilidae
Source: RNAcentral
CAAAGCUAGAGAAUCUGUAGAACCAUCAAAAGAGCAGUUGCUUUAGAAGCCGUUGUCAUAUAAAUAUAGCACCAGUCAAACAUGUAACUGCAUCUUUUUAUCAUUGAAAAAAAUAUAUUGAUAUAAUAUAUAAACAAAAUGGUUUUAUAACUUUUGGGUAUUCCAGGAAAAAAGUGUAUGGGAGGGUUUGACUCCACAUGCUAUUUUGUUAGAAGUAUAUAUAUUGGAAG